This 312-nucleotide long non-coding RNA is filed under the name Gallus gallus (chicken). RNAcentral's name for it is "lncRNA (ENSGALG00010009881.1)". The record is from RNAcentral. Lineage: Eukaryota; Metazoa; Chordata; Aves; Galliformes; Phasianidae.
CGCCCCUUGCCUAGAAAAAGCGUCGGGGAGAGCGGCGUCGUGUCGUUGCGCACCAUGGGCGGAGGGGAGGAGUCUGGGUGUGUGAAUCACGUGGGACUUUCAAACGCGGAGAAGCCCAGCAACUGCAGUGAUUUCACAGACGUGCUCACCCCAGCCAGCAGUGUCUUGAGAAGCUACAGACUCCAUGGCCAAGGAAUGAACCAUCCUAGAUCAUUUCAGCCCUCCAGUUCAUGAGAAUUGAGCAGAAAAUACCAGCCUAAGUUGCAAGAUAUUGUAAAAUUUCUGCAUGAAUUGAGGAUUGCUGCGUCUUUG